Molecule: ribosomal RNA, 497 nt
Filed under: uncultured bacterium
Lineage: Bacteria
Description: partial 16S ribosomal RNA
Rfam family: Bacterial small subunit ribosomal RNA
Source: RNAcentral
GAUGAACGCUGGCGGCGUGCCUAACACAUGCAAGUCGAGCGACCGGACGAGAAGCUCGUUCCCCUGAUGUUAGCGGCGGACGGGUGAGUAACACGUGGAUAACCUACCUAUUAGACUGGGAUAACUUCGGGAAACCGCAGAUAAUACUGGCUCAUACUUUCAACCGCAUGGUUCAAAAGUGCAAGACGGUCUUGCCGUCACUUAUAGAUGGUUCCGCGUUGCAUUAGCUAGUUGGUAAGGUAACGGCAUACCAAGGCGACGAUGCGUAGCCGAUCUGAGAGGGUGAUCAGCCACACUGGAACUGAGACACGGUCCAGACUCCUACGGGAGGCAGCAGUGGGGAAUAUUGGGCAAUGGGCGAAAGCCUGACGGAGCCAUACCGCGUGGGUGAAGAAGGCCUUCGGGUUGUAAAGCCCUUUUGUUAGGGAAGAACAGCAGUAGGAUAAAACGUCGCUGUUCUGACGGUACCCAAUCAGAAAGCCACGGCUAACUUCGUG